This is a non-coding RNA of Aegilops tauschii subsp. strangulata, 1259 nucleotides long. NCBI's taxonomy places the organism in Eukaryota, Viridiplantae, Streptophyta, Magnoliopsida, Poales, Poaceae. The record is from RefSeq and is a predicted model, not a curated record.
AUGCUGGAAUUCUGACAGAGAUGAUCUCGCUAAUACGCUACGAGGAAUACAAUUUCAUUUGGACCUUCUUAAAAGUCAAAAUUUGGUAAGCGACGAUUGGAAAGACAUUGAUCUUACUGAAUGGAAGAUCACAGAACAAUUACAAAAGGCAAUUCAAAAAGAUAGUUCUUCAUGUGGUUUAUUUAUGGUUAAAUUUAUGGAAUAUUUCACCGGAUAUGCACUAUCCUACCCAAUUACACAGGAAAUGAUUACUUCUUUCAGGUUUAAGUUAGCUAGCAUACUAUUAUGUUGGAAAACAAACACUGCAGCAAUGACUACAAUCGUUGAAGAAAGUGAGGAUGACACCAAGGGAGAUCCUGAUGAUGUUCAAAUAUUGGAAAGUUUAGAUAAUUUUAAAAAAACAAAACAAAAAUUACCAUUAUCUGUUGAAAAUAAAUACAGAUCACUAAUAUCAGUUCUUUCUAAUAUGACCUUACAUGAGUUAACAGCUAGACUCUGUAGCUUCAUUAAAUCAAUCAAUUACACCGAGAUUUUAGAGUAAGUCAUUUUAAAUUAGUAUUGCAAUUGUAAAGUAUGUUACUUGUUUUCUUAAUGGUUUAUUUUCUUACUUUGUAUCAUGAUCAGGAAAGUAUGGAUCCAUAGUUCAAAACCAUAUCCAAUUAGCUUGUCUCUAAAAAAACUACAAGGAAUGCUAAAGGAUUAUUUACCCAUGGACCGAGAUUGCUUUAAUUUGAUCGUACGGAAGAUUAUGUUGGAUGACAUCCAAACGACACAAAAAAAAGCAAUUGAUAGCAAAGCAUUAUCUGCACAUGAAAUUUUGGGUAUGUUUUUAUAUUCAUUAUAUACUUUUUUAUAUAAUGAUUUUUUAUCAUUUUAACCAAUUAUUUUAUAUAUUAGAUGACUACUGAUUAUGGAAGGCACCCAGAUUACCAUAAAAAGUUAGAUGUGGAGCAACUAGCAAAUUCUAUUCGUAGUUGGUCUGGUAUCAAUAUUUCAACAUUUAAAUCGGUACGAGCACUUUUAUAUACUUUAUAGCAAAAAAAAUAUUGCAUCUAAUAUGUAGCCUAUUUCAUAUCCAUAUUCCAGUACAAACCAUGGAUGAAUUCAUUCUAUUCACAUUGGACCAAGAUACCAGAACAGUGUACAUUUUGGACCCUACUCCUAUUAAUCCAAUGUACCGAUACAACCCACUCGCAAAAUAUAUGAAAAAAAUUAUAUGGAUUUCCGAACACUUACAAAAAGCAAUGUCAAAAGCAUGC